AGCGAACGCUGGCGGCAGGCUUAACACAUGCAAGUCGAACGCCCCGCAAGGGGAGUGGCAGGCGGGUGAGUAACACGUGGGAACGUACCCUUUGGUUCGGAAUAACUUGGGGAAACUCAAGCUAAUACCGGAUAAGCCCUUAUGGGGAAAGGUUUACUGCCGAAGGAUCGGCCCGCGUCUGAUUAGCUAGUUGGUGAGGUAAUGGCUCACCAAGGCGACGAUCAGUAGCUGGUCUGAGAGGAUGAUCAGCCACACUGGGACUGAGACACGGCCCAGACUCCUACGGGAGGCAGCAGUGGGGAAUAUUGGACAAUGGGGGCAACCCUGAUCCAGCCAUGCCGCGUGAGUGAUGAAGGCCUUAGGGUUGUAAAGCUCUUUUACCCGGGACGAUAAUGACUGUACCGGGAGAAUAAGCCCCGGCUAACUUCGUGCCAGCCGCCGCAGUAA
This 447-nucleotide ribosomal RNA is filed under the name uncultured bacterium. RNAcentral describes it as "partial 16S ribosomal RNA". It matches the Rfam family "Bacterial small subunit ribosomal RNA", at positions 29 to 523 of the family's 1533-position model. The record is from RNAcentral.